CAAUAUUCACAUACAUAUUAUAUUACGGGUCUCAUAUAUCAAGCGGAGAACCCAUAAUAAAUAUAUGUAUAUGAAUAUUAUAUAACCUAUUUUUUAUUUGAUAAUAAAUUGUACUUUGUUAAACGAAUGUAGCCCAAGGUUGACCAAGAAGGAGAUAAAACAGAGAAUCCAAUGAAGAGAGAGAAUUCUUUCACUGUUUCGUAUUUGGACACACGUGUGCAGAAAAUUCCAAUCAGCUUGUGACUUGUUUGGAAGGUGCCUAACAUCUUUCGCUCUCAAGUCUCUGCACAACUUAUAGCUUUAAGGGUUAAGUUCAGAUAACUAUCUGGGGUUUGAACGUUUUUUCACUUAACCACCUGUAGUUAGUAAAUUUACAUUUAAACUUCCGACCUUUUGAGGUGAAGUGAAUAAAUACUUUCCGUCUUAACUCCAUUACUUGAGUUCCCCAUCCUCCUUGUCUCUUUGUAAAUAAAGACUUCAACAUUAUGCUGAACCAACAGCCAGUGCAGUGCACACCUUAAUAUGCAAGUGGAAGUGGUGCUGACUCAAUCUUUUCACCCUAUGAAGUUAUUUUUUUGAUAAGUUGGUCAAUUGACCACUAAAAUAUUGACACACAUACAACCUUACCUGCGAGUCAGUAUUUUAUUGGUCAAUUGACCAACUUACCCUAAAAUAAACUUCAUACUAACCACUUCCGAUGUAUUAUAGCAUUGUAAUAUA
Molecule: long non-coding RNA, 720 nt
Filed under: Panax ginseng (ginseng)
Lineage: Eukaryota; Viridiplantae; Streptophyta; Magnoliopsida; Apiales; Araliaceae
Description: long non-coding RNA (PGIN_LNC015009)
Rfam family: MIR6135 microRNA precursor family (bases 562-683)
Source: RNAcentral